CCUCCUGUAUGAGCUGUUGCUGUUGUGUUUUCAUGCAUCUUCAGUCCUAACCAAUCGCUGCCAAUCUCUGUGUGUGAUGCAACAGGCUAAAUUAGUUCCAGCCCCCUUCUCCAUAUUUGUGGACACAUGACUCACAAACAUGGAGAAGGGGGCUGGAACUAAACACACACACACACUCUCACACACACACUAGAGAGCUCCAGACCACCGUGGCGACAUGAGUGGUGACUGGAGUCCUGCGUUGUUCUGUUCAUAGCUCGCGCACGGCGCACAAGGCCAGUAGAGGCAUUGUGUUUAGCUAUCGCUAGCUCACGCACGGCGCACAAGGCACAGUAGAGGCAUUGUGUUUAGCUAUCGCUAGGCGAAUGGGAAUCAGUGCAGCUGUUGCUCUGUUGUUAGCCAGUGCUAAGUGAGCGCUGGAGCUACAGGGAGGGCUGGAGCUGUGUGGGGUGGUGUGGAGGACCUGCUCCACUGACUGCUCAGACAGAAAUAGCACAUGAGCGAGCGUGUCCAUUUCCACUGGCUGCCACUCAACACCAGCCCCACGCAGAGCCGCGUACGCGACAGGCUAACCUUGCGCGCUAACCUCGCACGCUAGCCUCGCUAGCCUCCUCCUGCUUCAAAGCAGCUGCUGCAGCAGGCCUUUCGCUUUCUCAAAACUGGCCAACCGAUGAGAAGAGACUGCUCCCGGUAACCGUGGGAAACUAUCUAUCUCGGAAUACUCUUCAAUGCCCCCCAUUCCACCAUGGAACCCUGCACAAGAAUGAAAAGGGAGGCGAUGAGGUAGUGGUCUGCUGAGCUCUUAACAGUCUGACCGAAGAGCACACGUGUGUGUGUGUGUGUGUGUGUGUGUGUGUGU
Molecule: long non-coding RNA, 859 nt
Organism: Clupea harengus (Atlantic herring)
Lineage: Eukaryota; Metazoa; Chordata; Actinopteri; Clupeiformes; Clupeidae
Exons: 3
Source: RefSeq, a predicted model, not a curated record